UACGUAGGGUGCGAGCGUUGUCCGGAAUUAUUGGGCGUAAAGAGCUCGUAGGCGGUUUGUCGCGUCGGCCGUGAAAACUUGGGGCUUAACCCCAAGCCUGCGGUCGAUACGGGCAGACUUGAGUUCGGCAGGGGAGACUGGAAUUCCUGGUGUAGCGGUGAAAUGCGCAGAUAUCAGGAGGAACACCGGUGGCGAAGGCGGGUCUCUGGGCCGAUACUGACGCUGAGGAGCGAAAGCGUGGGUAGCGAACAGG
RNAcentral lists this ribosomal RNA (253 nucleotides) under uncultured bacterium. RNAcentral's name for it is "partial 16S ribosomal RNA". It matches the Rfam family "Bacterial small subunit ribosomal RNA", at positions 524 to 776 of the family's 1533-position model. The record is from RNAcentral.